This 278-nucleotide unclassified non-coding RNA is filed under the name Trichoderma sp. Its description in RNAcentral is "partial internal transcribed spacer region". The stretch from base 1 to 46 matches the Rfam family "Eukaryotic small subunit ribosomal RNA", at positions 1786 to 1831 of the family's 1831-position model. Lineage: Eukaryota; Fungi; Ascomycota; Sordariomycetes; Hypocreales; Hypocreaceae. The record is from RNAcentral. RNAcentral also lists the same sequence under 1 other name.
AAGUCGUAACAAGGUCUCCGUUGGUGAACCAGCGGAGGGAUCAUUACCGAGUUUACAACUCCCAAACCCAAUGUGAACGUUACCAAACUGUUGCCUCGGCGGGAUCUUCUGCCCCGGGUGCGUCGCAGCCCCGGACCAAGGCGCCCGCCGGAGGAAUCAACCAAAACUCUUAUUGUAUACCCCCUCGCGGGUUUUUUUAUAAUCUGAGCCUUCUCGGCGCCUCUCGUAGGCGUUUCGAAAAUGAAUCAAAACUUUCAACAACGGAUCUCUUGGUUCUG